Molecule: long non-coding RNA, 2237 nt
Organism: Apis cerana (Asiatic honeybee)
Lineage: Eukaryota; Metazoa; Arthropoda; Insecta; Hymenoptera; Apidae
Source: RefSeq, a predicted model, not a curated record
AGUUUCGUCGGGGCGGGUUCUAAGCCGGUUUAGGGGCAGUUUACGCGCGGAACCACCCUCCUCUUCUGACCAUGGAGGCCUGACCCGGGGUCAGGUGGCUUCCUCGAACGCGAUUUCGUCGUAACGCGUUUGGCGCGUGGCACACGCGUGCUGUCAAGAUCACGAUUUUCUUCGAGAACACGAUCUUCUUAGUUUGAUUAAUUUCGAUUCCGGUUCCAGUCGGAGUAGAUUUAAAUGAGGGCGACGCGUGCAGCAGAACGUUAGCGACGAGCAACGCGCCGGGGAAGUUGAAGAAGGGAAUUUUCCGAGGGGUGGAGAUGACGUUUGAUGGAGCCGAAUAAGCAUUUAUUUCCGGAACAGCAUCUAGGUCUAAAGGUGUAAAGGAGCGAUGCGGAUUCAUUAGAGGGAGGUCUUCGUCAAACCCCCAUAGACGUGCUGUCUAAGGUUGAGUCCUCCACUUUCGGUUCUCGAGCAGCACAACACAUUUAGUCCAUCACGAAGCGUGUAUACGUAGACCGUGUGCAAACGAUUAACAAGAUUGGAGAGAACCCUAUCCCCCUUUGAGGCGAACGCAAAGUUUACUUUAGAGGGGUGAAACGAAGCGCGCGCGAAAAAAUUCUGCGAAGAGGUCAAUCAUUACCUUCAGCAAACGGAACAAGAAGUUCACCUGGGCUAAAGAUGGCGGAUAUCGUUUUUCAUUUAUGACGAUGUUUCGAUGUCUUUGAACGAGACACCUUAAAGAUUCCCAUUUUAGAGAUGCUCGAUAUAGUUUCGAUCGAUUUUAUUUGAAUCGUAGGAAAAUUUUAAAAAUAUUAAAAAUUCUUAGAUUCUCUAAGAAUUUAUUUAUUUACAUCAAAAUGCUAAAUUGAGCAUUCGCUAUUUAUUUAUCGGAUUUUAUCAUUAAAAAAUAUAAAUAAUAACAAAUUUCCUCUGCAUCGAUAAUUCAAAGAUUACGUAACAUUACUGUUCGAAUAUGCAUCAUCAACAAAUUAAUAAUUCUUAACAAUUGUAACUUCUUUCAUCAAAUUCGAAUUACAUAAAAUCAAUCAUUUACGCGAUCAUAAAAUUUAAUCCUCAAUCUCCAAAAUCCACCUGAUUUCCUGAAACUCAUUCGAUCCUUCUUUCCAAUCUAAAAAUAAAAACUAUCCUGCAAGAAUGGAAAGCCAUUGUGACGCGGCAAAUAUCGAAUAUCGCUCAACUCGAGACGAGUUUUCCGGGAAAACACGCUUCGGAUUUUCCGUCAGAGUGGGCGGUCAUGCGGCGUUGUUUUGAUAUUGAUCUCCGGAUACAACACCGUCUAAGCAUUCUAAUGGCAAGGGACGGGGAUUCUGCGCGCUGCAUGGCGCACGUGUUUCUAAUGAUUUUAGUGGUACCGAGGUCUACCUACCGGCGAUAUAUAGUUAUAGUCGGCUACGAACACGUAUUACAUCCACUCCGCCGGGGCACCGUGUAAUAUGUCGGAAUUGCGGAAAGGGGUAACGCGGCCUGGAAGCCGGAGAGAGCCCGCGAGGAUGGUCUUGCGGGAUUCUUAAUGGCGAAAGGCCUCCGAGGUAACACUACGGCUAUUAAACGCAGACCUCGCUACUCUGUCUACCUUACUUCUCUCUCUCUCUCUAUUUCUCUCUUAUCUCCUAGCUAUAUCUAACUCUUUCUCUUUUCGCUUGCGACAAACGUAUAGGAUGGUUUCCCGUUACGUCCAUUGGAAUGCAAUGGUGUCGUGUCAUUCGAUGAUGGGAUGUUUUCUCGAUGGAUGAUAAGACAUGGAAUAUGAUAAUUUUUAUAGAAAUAUCGGGAGGAUUUGAGGUAUGAGGUAUAAGGUAUAUAAGGUGUAAUAAAUAAAAAAAGUAAAUUAUUUUUGUAGCAUUGUAUUUAUUGUAGUAUUAUAUAUAUAUUUAUAUUACAUUUAUUUAAUAUGUUACAUAAUUAUAUGAUACUUGAUAAUUGUUAUACUAUAUUAUAUAUUUAUUUGCUAUUAUAUAAGUUAAUUAAAUGGUGAAAAAUAAGAAAAAUAAGAGGAUAUGUGCAAAUACUUACUUUGUAGAGAAGAAAGUUCUUAUGAUAAAUAAUUACUAUCACUUUUGUGAAUCUGAAUAUUUAGGUUUAUUAUUCAUGUGAAAAGAAUUUAUUAUUCCCCGCGCGAAAUGUUUUCAAUAUAUUAUUGCGAUUUACUUAAUUACUUUUCCUUGAAUACAUUUUUUAAAAAUCUUUAAAGAAUAAAUAAGAACAAAAGGCAUUAA